AAUAGAUACCCGGGUAGUCCACGCCGUAAACGUUGGGCGCUAGAUGUGGGGGCCAUUCCACGGUUUCCGCGUCGUAGCUAACGCAUUAAGCGCCCCGCCUGGGGAGUACGGCCGCAAGGCUAAAACUCAAAGGAAUUGACGGGGGCCCGCACAAGCGGCGGAGCACGCGGAUUAAUUCGAUGCAACGCGAAGAACCUUACCAAGGCUUGACAUAUACGAGAACACUGCAGAAAUGUAGGACUCUUUGGACACUCGUAUACAGGUGGUGCAUGGUUGUCGUCAGCUCGUGUCGUGAGAUGUUGGGUUAAGUCCCGCAACGAGCGCAACCCUCGUCGCAUGUUGCCAGCACGUAAAGGUGGGAACUCAUGUGAGACUGCCGGGGUCAACUCGGAGGAAGGUGGGGAUGACGUCAAAUCAUCAUGCCCCUUAUGUCUUGGGCUUCACGCAUGCUACAAUGGCCGGUACAAAGGGCUGCAAUACCGUAAGGUGGAGCGAAUCCCAAAAAGCCGGUCUCAGUUCGGAUUGAGGU
This 529-nucleotide ribosomal RNA is filed under the name uncultured bacterium. RNAcentral describes it as "bacterial SSU rRNA". It matches the Rfam family "Bacterial small subunit ribosomal RNA", at positions 777 to 1304 of the family's 1533-position model. The record is from RNAcentral.